UACGGAGGGUGCGAGCGUUACCCGGAAUCACUGGGCGUAAAGGGCGUGUAGGCGGGGAAAUAAGUCUGACUUCAAAGGCUGAGGCUCAACCUCAGUAAGGGGUUGGAUACUGUUUUUCUAGACCACUGGAGAGGCAACUGGAAUUCUUGGUGUAGCGGUGGAAUGCGUAGAUACCAAGAGGAACACCAAUGGCGAAGGCAGGUUGCUGGACAGAGCGGUGACGCUGAGGCGCGAAAGUGUGGGGAGCGAACCGG
RNAcentral lists this ribosomal RNA (254 nucleotides) under uncultured bacterium. RNAcentral describes it as "partial 16S ribosomal RNA". It matches the Rfam family "Bacterial small subunit ribosomal RNA", at positions 524 to 776 of the family's 1533-position model. The record is from RNAcentral.